GACAGGUGAUGAAAUUAUGUAGAAAAUUGCGAAAUAAGUACGAAUUCUCAGUAUGUACAUUAAGUCAGGUGUACCUGGCUCAAGUUGGGAGGUGUGCGACUUUUGACCAAUAGAAGAAGGGAGGCGCGGUUUGACGUCACGGCUUCGUCACAAAAUAGCUUUGAUCAUCUGUUUCCGACACACACUUUUAAGUGAGACAGUCGCGGUAUUGCAGACUAAAGCGUUAUUGAACGUGAAACGUUCGGUUGUGAAAAUUUGUUACGUUCUCUGACCGUCUGAAAAUAGAAUGUUUUUAAUGCUUCAUUUUUAAAUCAAACAUUUAAUUUGUCGUAGGGAAUCUAGAAGCUGUAUAAGUGUUUGAAAAUUUUUUGGAAAAAAAGCGCGUUUUUCUCUACCAGAAAAUUUGCACUUCAUUUAGAACUUCGUAUUUUGAGAUUGAUUUUGAAUAUGGAAAUGGUAUGGUGGAAUAUUUUAACGAUUCUUAUAAUCACUCAGUUUUCCUCCGGUUCUGAUGUUUUGGUACCCCCUUGCCCCAGCGAAAUUUAUUGCCAUGGACCUCUUUUACAUACUGUGCAAAUGGCGAAAAUUCACGAAGAUUCCAAAACUUUUGUUGACAUGAAACUGAAAUAUCCUCCCAAUGAAACCUUAGUAAAAUUCGAUGAAUUCAUGGUGGAAAAUCACAACAAGCCAAGUAAGACUCAAAUAGAGGAGUUUGUGCUCAGGACAUUCGAGUCUGCUGGAGGUGAGUUCCAGACUUGGGAUCCCAAGGACUGGAUAAGUAAACCGAAAUUCACGGAAAAAAUCAAGGAUCCUCAGUUGCAAGGAUUCGCUUUGGAGUUGAACAAGAUCUGGAAAAAAUUAGGAAGAAAAAUGAAGGAAGAAGUAAAGGAACACAAGGAUUUAUACAGUAUCAUUUGGGUUCCAAAUCCUGUAAUAGUUCCUGGGGGUAGAUUCAGGGAAUUCUAUUACUGGGAUUCUUAUUGGAUUAUCUUGGGACUUCUGCUGUCUGAAAUGGUUGCAACUACUAAAGGAAUGUUAGAAAAUUUUUUGUAUAUGGUUGAUAACUACGGUCUUAUUCCUAAUGGAGGAAGAGUUUAUUAUUUAGAACGUUCUCAACCACCGUUAUUGAUACCAAUGAUUAAACUUUAUUACGACUCCACAAAUGAUAAACAAUUUCUGAAAGACAAUAUCAGGAUAAUGGAGAAAGAGUUCAACUAUUGGUUAACAAACCAUUCGGUCCAAGUAAAUUUGGGAGGAAGAAAUUAUACGUUAGCCCAUUAUGGAGAUAGAUCUCAUGGACCUAGACCAGAAUCUUACUCAGAGGACGUUAUGAGUGCUACCUAUUUGAACGAAGCAGAAAAAGAAUCAUUUUAUUCUGAAUUGAAAGCUGCUGCUGAAUCUGGGUGGGAUUUUUCAAGCAGAUGGUUCAUUUCAAAUGGAACAAAUGCUGGUAAUCUCACUAACAUAAUGACAAGAUCAAUAAUUCCGGUAGAUCUAAAUGCUAUCAUGUAUUGGAACGCAAAACUACUAGGUGAUUACAAUAAAAUUUUGGGUGAUAGUGACAAAGCUGAGUAUUACUAUCACAUAAGUAAAGAAUGGAUGGAAGCUGUAACAGCCGUGUUAUGGCAUGAAGAAAUUGGUUCCUGGUUGGACUAUGACAUGUUCAAUAAUGUAAAAAGAGACUACUUUUACCCUUCAAACAUAGCACCUUUAUGGACAGGAUGCUACAAUACAACAGAAACUGAGAAGAUCACAAGAUUAGUUAUAAAAUAUUUGCACAACAAGCAUAUAAUGAAUAAUCCAGGGGGUAUUCCGACUACAAUGGCGCACACUGGGGAGCAGUGGGAUUACCCCAAUGCUUGGCCUCCAUUACAACAUAUGAUGGUCAUGGCUUUGAACAACACGGGUGAUAAAACUGCUCAAAGAUUAGCCUUUGAAAUUGCUCAAAAGUGGGUUAGAUCAAAUUUUAAAGCUUACAAAGCCACUUCAGCAAUGCUGGAAAAGUACGAUGCUACCAUUAUAGGAUCUUCAGGAGGUGGGGGUGAAUAUGCUGUUCAAGAAGGUUUUGGGUGGACAAAUGGUGUAAUGAUGGACCUUUUAGAUAAAUACAGCGACUCUAUAUUUAUGGAAGAUCCUAAUGUCGAUAAACCAACAACCAAUCAGGGUGCUGUAAUGUCGUCUUCCAGCUCUGUGAAUACGGUUCUAUUAGCUGUUUUAGUUUCAUUAGCUGCAGGUUUUAUAGGGUGAGACUGCCAGUUAUUCAGUUUUUUUAUUCUACUCACAACUGCAAAUCGUGAUAUAUAAUAUUUCACAUCAUACCAGACUUUGAUGUUUUUAGUUGACUUCACCAUAAUGCCUUGCAAAGAUGAAAAAUCUCGGUAACCUAGGAAAUUUGAGUAAUGUCUACAAAAAUUCGGUCAAUAUACAACCGAAUUUUGGUAAAGUGAUAUUAUCCAUAAGUAUUUUAGCGAAUUAAGUGGUCUUUAUGAGCAUGCGGUUGUUGAUUACUCUAACUUUUAGCUUGGAUUAUGAGGAAUUCAGAGCCAUCGAUCUGUUAUUAAGGUAUGGUUCUAGAUUUUUCGUAAUAGUUUUCCAUUUUUCAUUCUCUGUGUUUUUGUAUAUAUUUUUUAUUUAGACUUAGUUAGUUACUAAUUUUAUUCCUGCACGAAGUGGUUGUUGCCUUAUUGUUAAUCGACAAGACUUGAAUUAUUGAAUGUUUCUUAUGGUUUAUCUGUGGGCUUCUGGAGAUGAUCAAUUGUAAUCCCCAUUAAUCGAAUAAUUCCUGAAAGCUUCUGAAUAUAAUUGUAAAUUUAAUUACGUAACUAUAAAUGCUACGUAAGCUAUAAAAAUGCUGAAUAGAAAUUGCAUACUCCUCACAUUAGUGAUGGACGCUGUACUUAAUUUUGCAGGUCAUAUAUUAUGUAUUAAGAUGAUAUCAGAUAUCAGCAAAAAAUUGGCAUAGUUUCAUAUUACAUUCCUACACCAUAAACAAAUCAUCUAUUCAAUUCCGUUUGAAAAACAUUCAGACAUUCCAUUUUCCUGUGAUAGAAGUGUGAAACUUUCGUUAUUUAUUUAUACAUUUAUUAGAUCCUCUUUUAUAAUUGAGAAUCUCCAGAAACUUACACGAUUUUUGAAUAUUUUGCAAAUUAUAUGUAUGUGAUAAUAAAUAAUACAAUAGUACAAUACAAGUAUUCAUAAAACCAGUUACAACUGUGAGUGUGUGUGUUGAGGAUUAAAACUUUGAUGUCAAUUAACUUGAACUGAGGCAAAUUUCUGGUUGACUUUUGUUUAAUUGCGCAAAACACUACAGGACCUUGAUAUCAAGAAUUUUUCAUUGAAGAUUAUGAAUAAUGAUCUACAGGAAACGAAUGAGCCAACUACGUAGCAGCAAGCAGAUUCCACGUCCCAAAGUGAGAUAUACAGAGCUAAGGAGUAUGAAGGAAAGACGGUAGAACCUCUUUAACAACUCAAUUUUACGGCAAUGAAGUAAUAAGAAUAUCUUCAAUGAUUUCCUUCUUAACCUCACUACAAGGACAGAUUUUUCAUUAUAAUUUCAUACAUGAUGACUGUGAUACUCAAAUUAUUUAAUGUGCAUAUAAAAUACCCAUACGGUUUGAGCCUAUUGCAUAUUAUUUUUAGAGCCUCAAAGAAUAGGAUUUAUUAUUAAAAUGGGUGAAAGAAGUAACGUCAUCUAUAAGAAAGUCUAAAUUUAGUUGAGUAAAUAUAUAGAAUUUAUUUAAAAACUCAAAGGAAUCAUUUUUGUUUUGAGUUAAUUCAUGAUUACAUUUUGAGGGGUUUAAGUAAUCCCUUCAGAAAUUAAAACAUUUUUAGCCAAAAAAGUAUACCAUUAUGUAAAAAUGAACAAGAAUCAAAAAAUAUGUGAGAAACAUUCUUUUAAUUUCUAUGUUAUGAUACUUAGAUAGCUGUAAUAUUAAUUGAAAAAAAUUAGUUGAACUAAGACUAUAAAAAUUUCUUUUCAACUAUGUCUAUCAUGUCAUAUUUUCAUUUAAUGAGAAGAAUUAGUAUUAUUAGAAUAGGAAUAGAUAAAUAAUUUUAUAAUAAUAUAAUGACAUCAGGAAAGAAAUUCUGAUUGGAAUUUAAUAAGGAAAAAUAUUUUUUCGAUGGCUGUCAGAAUAUUUUGUCAAAGAUAUUUCGAAGAAGUGUACGUUUCAAAUUAUUGAAAGUGAUAUAUAAUUUUGAAAAUAUUCAGUUCUGUCUUGACGACUAAAACUGAUAGUGAAAUAAAUUUUUAGUAGCAUACUAUAGAGUUUCAUCCGAAAUAUCUUGCCGAACUCCCAUACAAUUACCUUACUUAAUUUUAUUGUUUUGAAAUAAGGUUUUUCUUGAAUUGACCUUUAUUUUUAUAUAAAAAUUUAAGCAGAUUGAUCUCACAGGUAUGUGCAGGAAGCUUGAUAUUUUUGAAAGUUUUAGCCUUGGAAAUGACCAACUGAAUGUAUAUUUUACGGGGUUUGAUGUAGAUUAAAAAAUUAAACGAUGCUUUCAUCAU
Harmonia axyridis is the source of this 4507-nucleotide RNA transcript. It is a transcript of the gene named trehalase-like, with no coding region annotated. Lineage: Eukaryota; Metazoa; Arthropoda; Insecta; Coleoptera; Coccinellidae. The transcript is spliced from 6 exons. The record is from RefSeq and is a predicted model, not a curated record.